Molecule: transfer RNA, 82 nt
Filed under: Planctomycetota bacterium
Lineage: Bacteria; Pseudomonadati; Planctomycetota
Also listed under: 1 other name
Description: tRNA-Tyr
Rfam family: tRNA
About the family: Transfer RNA (tRNA) molecules are approximately 80 nucleotides in length.
Source: RNAcentral
GGGCGUGUACCCAAGUGGCCAAAGGGGACGGGCUGUAAACCCGUUGGUAAUACCUUCGAAGGUUCGAAUCCUUCCGCGCCCA